UACGGAGGAUGCGAGCGUUAUCCGGAUUUAUUGGGUUUAAAGGGCGUGCAGCCGGGCUGACAAGUCAGAUGUGAAAUCCCGCGGCUCAACCGCGGAACUGCAUUUGAAACUGUCAGUCUUGAGUACCGGAGAGGUCAUCGGAAUUCCUUGUGUAGCGGUGAAAUGCGUAGAUAUAAGGAAGAACACCAGUGGCGAAGGCGGAUGACUGGACGGCAACUGACGUUGAGGCUCGAAAGCGUGGGGAGCAAACAGG
This 253-nucleotide ribosomal RNA is filed under the name uncultured Oscillospira sp. RNAcentral describes it as "partial 16S ribosomal RNA". It matches the Rfam family "Bacterial small subunit ribosomal RNA", at positions 524 to 776 of the family's 1533-position model. Lineage: Bacteria; Bacillati; Bacillota; Clostridia; Eubacteriales; Oscillospiraceae. The record is from RNAcentral.